RNAcentral lists this ribosomal RNA (271 nucleotides) under uncultured bacterium. RNAcentral describes it as "partial 16S ribosomal RNA". It matches the Rfam family "Bacterial small subunit ribosomal RNA", at positions 335 to 624 of the family's 1533-position model. The record is from RNAcentral.
GUCCUACGGGACGCAGCAGUAGGGAAUUUUCGUCAAUGGGCGCAAGCCUGAACGAGCAAUGCCGCGUGAACGAGGAAGGUCUUCGGGUUGUAAACCGCUUUCAGCAGGGAAGAUAAUGACGGUACCUGCAGAAGAAGCCCCGGCUAACUACGUGCCAGCAGCCGCGGUAAUACGUAGGGGGCAAGCGUUAUCCGGAUUCAUUGGGCGUAAAGCGCACGCAGGCGGGCCGCUAAGCGGGACCUCUAAUAUUGGGGAUCAAACUCAAGACGGG